ACAGAGGUCCCGAGCGUUGUUCGGAUUUACUGGGCGUAAAGGGUGCGUAGGCGGUCGGGUAAGUCUGAUGUGAAAUUCCUGGGCUCAACCCAGAAACGGCAUUAGAUACUAUCCGGCUAGAGGAUUGGAGGGGGGAUUGGAAUUCUCGGUGUAGCAGUGAAAUGCGUAGAUAUCGAGAGGAACACCAGUGGCGAAGGCGAAUCCCUGGACAAUUCCUGACGCUGAGGCACGAAAGCUAGGGGAGCAAACAG
Molecule: ribosomal RNA, 251 nt
Filed under: uncultured prokaryote
Description: partial 16S rRNA
Rfam family: Bacterial small subunit ribosomal RNA
Source: RNAcentral